Molecule: transfer RNA, 75 nt
Filed under: Spirochaetia bacterium
Lineage: Bacteria; Pseudomonadati; Spirochaetota; Spirochaetia
Description: tRNA-Ala
Rfam family: tRNA
About the family: Transfer RNA (tRNA) molecules are approximately 80 nucleotides in length. Their secondary structure includes four short double-helical elements and three loops (D, anti-codon, and T loops).
Source: RNAcentral
GGGGGUGUAGCUCAGUUGGCUAGAGCGUUUGAAUGGCAUUCAAGAGGUCAAGGGUUCAAUUCCCUUCACCUCCAC